This is a long non-coding RNA of Ruditapes philippinarum (Manila clam), 464 nucleotides long. RefSeq lists it as uncharacterized. The record is from RefSeq and is a predicted model, not a curated record. The transcript has 3 exons. Lineage: Eukaryota; Metazoa; Mollusca; Bivalvia; Venerida; Veneridae.
ACAUGACCCUAAUUAAUGUGCUUCCCGCCAUUACGCUGAAAAUGCCAACAAAAACUGGAAAGAAAAGAGCCAGUUCGGCUAAAACCGAAUCAAAAUUGACGAAAGAUGAGGCAUCCCCUGUUAAAAAGGCUAAAACUACGUCAACAAAUGCCAACUUUCGCAUGACAAUCGAGCAUUGCAAAUCCUGACAGGUGUUCAAGCGCAAGGCCUUAGCUCUGGUUGAGGACUUGCGCAAGAAGUAUGGGGAGUUUGAGGUUGAGCUUAAUCCCUCAGCUCCCAGGCGUGGCAGCUUUGAACUUGUUAUUUCCAGGGAUGGAAAGGAUGAUGUUGUAGUUUGGACUGGUUUAAAGAAAGGUCCACCAAGGAAACUCAAGUUCCCAGAAGCUGAAUCAAUUAUUGAAGAGAUGGAGAAGAUUGUAUUAACUGUCUAGUGUUGUAUUUGUCUGUAUAUAAGGUAAUGGUUA